Molecule: ribosomal RNA, 449 nt
Filed under: uncultured bacterium
Lineage: Bacteria
Description: partial 16S ribosomal RNA
Rfam family: Bacterial small subunit ribosomal RNA
Source: RNAcentral
AACGAACGCUGGCGGCAUGCCUAACACAUGCAAGUCGAACGAGAUCUUCGGGUCUAGUGGCGCACGGGUGCGUAACGCGUGGGAAUCUGCCCUUUGGUUCGGAAUAACAGUUGGAAACGACUGCUAAUAUCGGAUGAUGACGAAAGUCCAAAGAUUUAUCGCCAGAGGAUGAGCCCGCGUAGGAUUAGCUAGUUGGUGUGGUAAAGGCGCACCAAGGCGACGAUCCUUAGCUGGUCUGAGAGGAUGAUCAGCCACACUGGGACUGAGACACGGCCCAGACUCCUACGGGAGGCAGCAGUGGGGAAUAUUGGACAAUGGGCGAAAGCCUGAUCCAGCAAUGCCGCGUGAGUGAUGAAGGCCUUAGGGUUGUAAAGCUCUUUUACCCGGGAUGAUAAUGACAGUACCGGGAGAAUAAGCUCCGGCUAACUCCGUGCCAGCAGCCGCAGUAA